UCUUCGGAUGUAAAGCACUUUCGACCGGGACGAACACCCCUUGGCCAAUAUCCAAGGGCCUGACGGUACCGGGAGAAGAAGCACCGGCUAACUCUGUGC
This 99-nucleotide ribosomal RNA is filed under the name uncultured bacterium. Its description in RNAcentral is "partial 16S ribosomal RNA". The record is from RNAcentral.